This 22-nucleotide microRNA is filed under the name Pongo pygmaeus (Bornean orangutan). Its description in RNAcentral is "ppy-miR-1471". Lineage: Eukaryota; Metazoa; Chordata; Mammalia; Primates; Hominidae. RNAcentral also lists the same sequence under 1 other name. The record is from miRBase by way of RNAcentral.
GCCCGCGUGUGGAGCCAGGUGU